RNAcentral lists this ribosomal RNA (882 nucleotides) under Neosetophoma rosae. RNAcentral describes it as "eukaryotic LSU rRNA". It matches the Rfam family "Eukaryotic large subunit ribosomal RNA", at positions 39 to 940 of the family's 3401-position model. Lineage: Eukaryota; Fungi; Ascomycota; Dothideomycetes; Pleosporales; Phaeosphaeriaceae. The record is from RNAcentral.
CAUAUCAAUAAGCGGAGGAAAAGAAACCAACAGGGAUUGCCCUAGUAACGGCGAGUGAAGCGGCAACAGCUCAAAUUUGAAAUCUGGCUCUUUUAGGGUCCGAGUUGUAAUUUGCAGAGGGCGCUUUGGCGUUGGCAGCGGUCCAAGUUCUUUGGAACAGGACGUCACAGAGGGUGAGAAUCCCGUACGUGGUCGCUAGCCUUCGCCGUGUAAAGCCCCUUCGACGAGUCGAGUUGUUUGGGAAUGCAGCUCUAAAUGGGAGGUAAAUUUCUUCUAAAGCUAAAUACUGGCCAGAGACCGAUAGCGCACAAGUAGAGUGAUCGAAAGAUGAAAAGCACUUUGGAAAGAGAGUCAAAUAGCACGUGAAAUUGUUGAAAGGGAAGCGCUUGCAGCCAGACUUGCCUGUAGUUGCUUAUCCGGACUUUUGUCCGGUGCACUCUUCUGCGGGCAGGCCAGCAUCAGUCUAGGCGGUUGGAUAAAGGUCUCUGUCAUGUACCUCUCUUCGGGGAGGCCUUAUAGGGGAGACGACAUGCAACCAGCCUGGACUGAGGUCCGCGCAUCUGCUAGGAUGCUGGCGUAAUGGCUGUAAGCGGCCCGUCUUGAAACACGGACCAAGGAGUCUAACAUCUAUGCGAGUGUUUGGGUGUCAAGCCCAGACGCGUAAUGAAAGUGAACGGAGGUGGGAACCCUUUGGGUGCACCAUCGACCGAUCCUGAUGUCUUCGGAUGGAUUUGAGUAAGAGCAUGGCUGUUGGGACCCGAAAGAUGGUGAACUAUGCUUGAAUAGGGUGAAGCCAGAGGAAACUCUGGUGGAGGCUCGCAGCGGUUCUGACGUGCAAAUCGAUCGUCAAAUUUGGGCAUAGGGGCGAAAGACUAAUCGAAC